Molecule: RNA transcript, 1859 nt
Organism: Fragaria vesca subsp. vesca
Lineage: Eukaryota; Viridiplantae; Streptophyta; Magnoliopsida; Rosales; Rosaceae
Gene name: beta-(1,2)-xylosyltransferase-like
Exons: 5
Source: RefSeq, a predicted model, not a curated record
AUGGCGAUGGCGACGAUGGUCGGAGAAAAACCAAAAGCCUUGAGAGAUAAAGAAAUUGAUGAAGAGGAGGAAGAUAAGAGUUUGGAACCAAAAUUGGGUCAAAAUUCGAAGGUUGAGCCUCACGCGUUAAACUCCCUCUCUCUCUGCCUCUACUUCACUUCCCACUGCAAAACCCACCACCAUCCCCUCAACCGCCUCCCCCUCACAGAUCAAACCCACCGCCACAUCUACCGCUUCUCCAAGCCAUGGCCCAUCCUCCCCUCCUACCUCCCCUGGUCCCCCUCCCCAAACGCACCGUUUCGCUCCUGCGAGGCCUACUUCGGCAACGGCUUCACCCGCCGCGUCGAUCUCCUCGAUCCCACCCAGCUGGUUCCGGUGUCAUUUCAGCGAGACUCUGCGGAGCUCGGUGUGCGAGGGAGGCGGGAUCAGGAUGGUGCCGGAGAGGGUGCGGAUGUCGUAUGGCGGCGAGGCUUUGGAGGAUGUGAUUGGGAGAGGGGAAGAGGAGGAGCUGCCGGAGUUUCGAAACGGUGCGUUUGAGGUCGAUGGAGGGGUUGGUGGGGAGACAUACAAUGAGGGAGCUGAUCGGGUCGAUUCGGGUUGUGCCGAGUAGAGAGUUUCAGUGCAGUGAGUGGAUUGAGGAGCCGACACUUUUGGUGACACGGUUUGAGUAUGCAAAUGUUUUCCACACAUUUACGGAUUGGUAUAGCGGUUAUGUAGGUUCCAGAGUCACUGGCUUACCUAGCCGGCCUCAUGUUGUCUUUGUAGACGGCCAUUGUUGGACACAACUGGAAGAGACAUGGAAAGCGUUAUUCUCUAGCCUUACUGCCUUAGAUAUGCAAAAAACUUUUAGUGGUCCCAUUUGUUUCCGACAUGCUAUUAUUUCACCUUUGGGAUAUGAGACUGCAUGGUUUAAGGGGCUCACUGAAGAUAUAACCUGUGAGGGAGCUUCUGCACCAGAGCUGUGGCAACACCCUGAUAACAAGAAAACUGCAUGGCUGUCUGAGUUUGGAGAAAUGAUUAGAGCUGCUUUUGGAAUUCCAGUGCAUAAGCAGCGUGUUGAGAAGCAAACCUCAGGUCUAAAUAUCCUUUUUGUUCGGUGUGAAGAUUAUCUACCGCAUCCACGUCACGGUGGCAAAGUUGAAUCAAGGUUAAGUAAUGAGCAAGAAGUGUUUGAUGCCUUAAAGAGCUGGUUGUCGAAUCAUAAGGAAUGCAAAAUAAACUUUGUGAAUGGAUUGUUUGCACACAUGUCGAUGAAAGAACAAGUCCAGGCCAUUCAAGAUGCUUCUGUUUAUUAUUGGUGCUCAUGGUGCAGGUCUCACACAUAUAGUAUCUGCAUCCCUGAAAACCGUGGUUCUGGAGAUUAUUAGCAGCCAAUAUAGACGGCCGCAUUUUGCUUUAAUUUGCCAGUGGAAAGGGUUGGAAUAUCAUGCAAUUAAUCUUCAGGAUUUGUAUGCCUCUCCGUCAGUUGUUAUUGACAACCUUAGCCGUAUACUGAGUACGCUUGGGUGCUGGAAACCAUUUUUGGUAAUGUACCGCACCUUGUCUAUUUCCUCAGGAUAACACUAUUACACGAUAGAUCAAACUUAUCUUAGUCAAGGUAGAUAAGUUAAUAGAACUUCUUGGACUGACUUUCCGUUGGUUGAGUAAUAUAAUUAUUGUGCCUUGAGCAAUGGUAUGGAAGGUGUCAAGCCUCUAUAAAGUAUACGAGAAUGGUGACAAAUUAGCAGGUAUGUAUCAGGAAACGGACAAUUAUCUGAAGGCGGAUAUAUACAGUUUGUGGACAGUAGACGUGUGUACAGGUAUGUUAUGUUGCCUUGACACUCAAAAUCUUUGUACUUGUUUUUUCACUUAUUCAGGAA